GGCCGCCUGGCGAAAUGGCAUCGCGUCUGACUACGAUGUUGCAGUCGUAGACUGAUGCAAUCAGGAGAUUGCAGGUUCGACCCCUGCGGUGGUCA
Non-coding RNA from Mycena galericulata, 95 nucleotides. The record is from the annotation of a GenBank genome assembly. Lineage: Eukaryota; Fungi; Basidiomycota; Agaricomycetes; Agaricales; Mycenaceae.